CUCCCUGCAGGGCGGCGUGCGUGAGAGGCACUGCGCGGGAACGAGUGCGAGGCGCGGAGACAGUGUAAGGGCUGGAUUCCAAUUGUCGCUGUUUACCAAGUCUCCAUAACAUGAACGGCAGUAGGAAUUUUACAUGAGCAGUCUUCUCACUGGGGACAUUUGGAACUCAAAAGUCCAUUUCUACAGACCAAGGGCUGACUUGACUCCCGUGAGAGAACUAAUGUGUCUACCAAAUAAUUUUUCUUUAAGGCCUCUGAUGGCUCUCACUGUGCUUAGGUGAAAUCCAAGCCCCUUCCUGUGGUCCCUGAGGCUCUGAGUCAGCCCCUCCACCUAGUGCUGUCUGACCUCCAGACCCCAGGCCCCCCCAGCUCCUCCUGCUCUGCCCACAGGCCCUUCAGCCUGCAGUGCUUCCCCUGCUCUGAGUCUUACUCUUCCUCCACCCCAGGUGUUGUGCCCUAGGUGCUCUCACAGCUUCCCAUUCAGAAUCAUUGCCCCGCUCCUCUUUCUCACCCCACCUUUCAACUUGCCAUUAAUGGCACUUUUUCAACAUACAAUCAUACAAUUUUUGGUGUGAUUAUUUGUUGACUGUGCCCAUUCAUCCCACAGCUCCAUUUUUUUCAUUUUCUGUAUCCAGUGUUUUUCUGGCAGAGAAUUGGGGGUGCUUAAGGUAUUUGGAGGGACAAUUCUUUCUUGCCCCAUAUGUUAAUCAGAUUAUGCCUUGAUGAUGAUGCCUAGCAAACAACCUCUAAAUCUCAGUGCUCACAACACUGAUAGCCAUCCGUAUGUCUGGCUGGGCUGGGUUUGGCCAGGCUCAGAUCUGCUCCCUUCUCUCACAUCUGGAGCUCUUUCGAGGACCCAGACAGAGGGAGCAAUGGCUGCUUGAGUGCAUGCUUUUCAUGAUGGAUGACACAGAAGAGUGAGAAGAACAGAGGAUUCGUCUUAACACCUUCAUUUAGAAAUGGCACAGUCUCUCCUUCCCACAUUCCUCUGGUCAAAGCAAAUCACAUGAAAAAGUCAGUGGGUGAGGUGCUGAGCUCCUCCUGAAGCAUGCAACCCUCAUUCUUCAAUCAUGGAGCAUGUAGCCCUCAUUUUUAAUCUGUUAACCCUGUUCUAUAUCCCUGAAUAAGCAGUUACAAGCUAGAGCCAGGAAAUAGCCAACCAUAACGGUUAAACAAUGCUUGUUUCGGCUUCUGCACAUGGCUUCGCUAGGUUCCCACCCCUCUCCAUGCCAACCAGGAUGCAGUUUUGCCUUUAUAUUCUCCCCGUGAAGACUGUUCAGGGCUGCGAGUUUGUUUAGGACAGGAGUCUGCUCACAGUUGCCGGCUAAAUAAAUUCCAAACUUUCAA
Miniopterus natalensis is the source of this 1346-nucleotide non-coding RNA. The record is from RefSeq and is a predicted model, not a curated record. Lineage: Eukaryota; Metazoa; Chordata; Mammalia; Chiroptera; Miniopteridae.